RNAcentral lists this ribosomal RNA (209 nucleotides) under uncultured Actinomycetales bacterium. RNAcentral describes it as "partial 16S ribosomal RNA". It matches the Rfam family "Bacterial small subunit ribosomal RNA", at positions 121 to 334 of the family's 1533-position model. Lineage: Bacteria; Bacillati; Actinomycetota; Actinomycetes; Actinomycetales. The record is from RNAcentral.
GGAUCUGCCCUGCACUUCGGGAUAAGCUUGGGAAACUGGGUCUAAUACCGGAUAGGAGCCAUCUUUAGUGUGAUGGUUGGAAAGUUUUUUCGGUGUAGGAUGAGCCCGCGGCCUAUCAGCUUGUUGGUGGGGUGAUGGCCUACCAAGGCGACGACGGGUAGCCGGCCUGAGAGGGUGAUCGGCCACAUUGGGACUGAGAUACGGCCCAG